RNAcentral lists this ribosomal RNA (296 nucleotides) under uncultured bacterium. RNAcentral describes it as "partial 16S ribosomal RNA". It matches the Rfam family "Bacterial small subunit ribosomal RNA", at positions 775 to 1067 of the family's 1533-position model. The record is from RNAcentral.
GGAUUAGAUACCCUGGUAGUCCACGCCGUAAACGAUGUCGGCUAGACGUCGGGCAGCUUGCUGUUCGGUGUCGCAGCAAACGCAUUAAGCCGACCGCCUGGGGAGUACGGCCGCAAGGUUAAAACUCAAAGGAAUUGACGGGGGCCCGCACAAGCGGUGGAGCAUGUGGUUUAAUUCGAUGCAACGCGCAGAACCUUACCAGCUCUUGACAUGUCCAUUUGGGAUCUUGGAGACAGGAUCUUUCGGUUCGGCCGGGUGGAACACAGGUGCUGCAUGGCUGUCGUCAGCUCGUGCCG